CUGCUCUACUUCUGUCACUCACUCUCCCAGUCAUUCACAGAAGUAAACCAUGUCUGAGAUCAGCAGAGAAGUUCUUCUGGAGGGUCUCUCUGCCCUCACUGGGAUCACCCUGAAGUCACGCACUAAACUCCAAGAAGGCUCCACAGCUGUAGAACUGACUGUCAAAAAUGUUCUCCCUGUUGUCUUUAAAAUGUUGUUAGAGUUUCUGGUACCUGACCUGACUUCAUUGUUGACUCAGCUAUCUGUGAACUCUGAAGUCUCGACUUUCCGGAGAGAGUACUUUGUGGACAUGGAUGAGUUCUUUCACCCUAAGUUUGAUUGCGAUUUCCGAAGCGGCGCAAGCUCCUCUAAGUGUUCCCGUGGUAAAGAAUCGUACACACGGCCCUGGGGGUGGUACCGAUUCGCUCUGAAGGUUCUGGAUAAGUAUCCUGAUGGAAACACCUGGCUGGGGCCGGACGGAUGGAGGAGCGAGUCUGCGCCCGGUGAGUGGCCAGUUUCCUUCCAGGGAACCAGCAUUGAGGGAGCCAAAGCCAUCACUGAGACCCAUUACAGAGCUGGGCCUUCCGAGGCUUAUGGGAGAGGCAUCUACUCCACUCCUGAUAUUAGCAUUGCAGAAGAUUAUGCUAUGAGCAAGAAGUUCACAUCAAAGAAUGGAAAGACUUACAAGGUCAUCAUGCAGAACCGGAUCAACCCUAUGAAGAGGGUCAUCACUAAAAAGAAAGACUACUGGCUCAUCCCGCUUCCUGAGGGAACCUCACCAGAAAAGGAGAAGGAGAUUGUGGAGAGAUCCAUCCGUCCUUAUGGCAUCCUGAUUAAAGAGGACUGAGUGGCCUUGUGCAGGAAGUCAUCCUAACCCUCAAGUAUUAGUGACCAGCUGCUGUAGACAAAGACAGACCGCCGAGCUGAACUCACCAAAAACGAAGCAGAGCCGAACUGACAGGGCAGAUUAGAGACGGGAAAUAAACUAAUUACAACACUCCAGAAACUUCUUACUGCGGCACCCUGGGGCAGAAUCCAGCAGUGAAGCGACAGGUUCAGGAGUUGCCUUGGGUGACAACUACAGCUUCGUUCACACUCUUUCCUCCACCUUUUUGUGUGUGUCGACAUUGAAUCGCCUGCUGGUGAAGUGUGGGAGAAAAUCAUAGAGCUGCAGCAUGUUCCGCUGCGGACCGGCAGGAGGCGGUAAAGUGCAGAUUCCAGCCUGAAGAUACAACAUCCGGGAAAGAUCUGGACUGCGCUGUUUUACUGACUGACACUGAAAUCACUGCUGAGUUUUAUUGACAGUUGCACUGAACAGGUGAUUAAGGAAUUUAUUUCACUCGUACUUUAUUUUUAUUAUAUGUGUAACAUGUCUUCUUCUUCUUCUUCUUCUUCUUCUUCUUCUUCUU
This is an RNA transcript of Pygocentrus nattereri (red-bellied piranha), 1388 nucleotides long. RefSeq lists it as uncharacterized. Lineage: Eukaryota; Metazoa; Chordata; Actinopteri; Characiformes; Serrasalmidae. The record is from RefSeq and is a predicted model, not a curated record. The transcript is spliced from 3 exons.